Non-coding RNA from Pimephales promelas (fathead minnow), 1294 nucleotides. The record is from RefSeq and is a predicted model, not a curated record. Lineage: Eukaryota; Metazoa; Chordata; Actinopteri; Cypriniformes; Leuciscidae.
GCAUGAAAGAGUUCCUCACAUCAGCCACCAACCAAGUCUCAAUAAAAAAAAAAAUAUACAAAAUAACAGAAAUACAGCGACGACACAUUAUGUUGAACGUUAAAUCAAAUUCAUUUCAAAGGUUUAAAACGUCUCUCUGAUCUUCCUCUGAUGCGAUUUGCCACGCAAGCAGUUCUGCAUGGCAACAACAGAACUAAUGGGCUGAUUGGUGGAUUACAAAAUUGGUGAUUUUCGCAUCGUCUCGUCAGUUGCUGACACCAGUUCAAAUGUGAAGACGGGACGGGAGUUUUUCUUUGAGUAACAUUCUCGUUCAACAGAAUUGCUGGCAAAAACCUAAAGCAGGAUUUCUACGAGAACCUUGAUAGAUAUAGUCCACGGUUCAUGGACCUUUUUUAAGCCAAAGGGGAGACUCCUGGUCAGCAACGUUACUUGGCUAACUUUUUGAAUCAAAUAAAGUCAGCCCAACCAACGGAGGUCCUAACCCUUGUGAUUCAAGGACUACCUAUCAUGCUUGGAGAUGAUGGUGACUUCAUUUCUUCAAGUCAUAUUUAGUGUCUGAUCAUCGCAACUCCAUCCUUAAUGUGCCAGUGGGCAUCUUAUUUGAGGACACUGACUUUCAGCCCCCAAUUCCUUGUAUUUAACUUCUACGAUUGGAAUAAUAAAAUGCAGGACCUCCCACAGGCUAUGUGUCUCCUCUUCGGUCUGAUCUACGAACUUGAACUGAAUUACCCCAAAUCAUUUUGCAACACGUUUGAUUUCAUCCAGCGUGUGUUAAUGUCAAUGGGACAAUAUUCUCUCAAGCCUAAAUUGCAGUCUCUGGCAAACCAGCUUUUUGUAAAAAAAAACAAAAAAAAAAAAAAAAAACUUCACUUUGAGACUUUAACACCACUCUGAGAAUGUUCUACAAAUGAUUUGCAGGAUAUAUAUACCAUGUAUUGGUACCAUUUUUACUACCUCUUCAGUUUUGUGACCCAGAAAAUAUUUGUUUAAAAAAAAAAUGCCACUUUGAGACUUUAAUAUUUCUGAAAAUGUUUUGUUUUGUGAGGGAAAAUGGUUUAAAUUGUGAAAUGCUCUAUAAUUAAUGUGCAUUAGUCAAUUUAGUAUAUUGUUACCAUUGUUGGUAACAAUACCUCUACAGUGUGUUCAAUUACAGUAUAGUUUGUACUGUAAUAUUGUGCAAAUAUUUGGUCAAAGACAGUGACUAUGGUCAGUAUGCUUUACUUAUUUUGCUGUGAUUGCAUAAAGCUUAAACCAGUAAAAUGUUAAAAGAAUGUACAUUACGUGUAAAUGUUCA